CUUAAUUGGCCUCUGGCCCUUUAAACUCUGAGGGGCUGUAACUUUGGUUUCUUUUGGUCAAUUUGCAUGAUUGACAACUUUUUUUAAUUGUUUGAGCCAAUAGAGUCACAGUAACGAUGCCACGUUCACGUUACGUCAACCAGUCAGACGUUGUAAUGCCAAAACCCACGUGGGCCCAAAUUUACUGCAUGUGGUCUGUCCAGUCACGUGUCUAUAGGUGGGUCUAAAAUGGAGGUUAACAGAAAACGGCUCUGAUGCGGCUAGGUAGGCGUGGUAACUGCUGACAAUCACAUGGCUACCGGCUACCGGCGAAAAUAACGGAGGAAAUCUGGACGUGACAGUCGGAGAGGAAGGAGAGCGGACGUGACAGCAGAGAGCGGGAGUGUCUGUGUCCCAGUGCAAAACAAAAGCCACAGUUGUAAAUAAAAGUCAUCACACUCGUGUCCAGCGUAUGCAUAACGGGUCAAAUGUUACAUCUUCAUGUAUGGAGUAAACACAAAUCUACACACAGAAAUACAAUGGGCAAAAAUGUAAAAAGUGACAAUACAUCAUGAAUGUAUUCAUAUACUUACUGAUAGUUUUUGUUGCGAUUGUCCAAGAAAUGCAAAAAAUGGUUUGUUCGAAAAGUUUGCCUGUGCUGAAUUCACCAAUGCACAAUAUGUGUGUUUAACAGUGCAUUUUACAGUAUUUAACCUUUGCACUAGUUAUGUAAAAUAAUACUUUUUGUUGAGUAAAACAUAUAUGUCUUACUUUACUUUUACGUCAGAAGUCACAUUAUUCAAGGACUUCCAACUACAUUUGACCCCCACCAGUUUGUUUACAGGGAUAUCAUAUCAACAGAGGAUGAUAUGGCCACUGCUCUACACACCACCCUGACCCAUCUGGAACACCGGCACAGUUAUGCCAAGCUUCUCUUCACUAACUUCUGCUCAACACAAUCAUCCCUAACAGAACUAAUUGACUUCAGCCUCUCACAAUCCAUCCACUCUGGUUUAAAGACUUCCUCAGAGAUCGUGUGCAGAGAGUCAAGUUCGCAGACAACACGACAGUGAUCGGAGGUGGGGGACGAGGCACGCGGGAGUCUGCGCCUGCCGGAGGAGGGAGAACAGCCAGAUGAAGGGCUGCUCCUGUCGGGAGCGAUGAAGGAGCCGGAGGCGGCGGAUGAGGCGCGCGAGGGUCCACACCGACCGGAAGAAGAGGAGCCGCUCAAGCCAGAGGUGGACAAGGGGCGAGAGGGGCUGUGCCUGCUGGAGGCGGAGACGCGGCACGGGGGAGCCGCGCCAGCCGGGAGUGGCGACGGAGGAGCCGGCCUCAUCUCCACCAGCGGCCGGCAUGCCAGUUGAUCCUACGUCCGCCGAGCCGCCUGUGAGCCGUGACCACCUGGCACGCAGCCGACCUCCAGACCAGCUUCGCCAGCGCCGCUGGAAUUGCUGGCUGCCGCCUGAACUCACACCUCCCUGUCGCUGGACCUGGGGCUGGGGAUGCCGACAGUCCAGGCCGAUUCUCUCUCCUGCUCACGGGGGGAGUGGAGUAGGUAGGUUCAGCCAGAUGGCUCCUUGGCCUCAGUCGGGCGAUGGGGGUAUGUGGCGGGGCGUGGCUUGCGGUGCCGUGCAGGGAAGGUGGACACACCUGCACGGCAUCCACAAUCAUGCCCCGCCAUCUUAAUUAUGGGACUGGGUCCUGACUGGGGG
Molecule: long non-coding RNA, 1691 nt
Organism: Oreochromis aureus
Lineage: Eukaryota; Metazoa; Chordata; Actinopteri; Cichliformes; Cichlidae
Exons: 3
Source: RefSeq, a predicted model, not a curated record